UCCGGUUUGUCACCGGCAGUCUCAUUAAAGUGCCCACCUCAACAUGCUGGCAAUUAAUGAUAAGGGUUGCGCUCGUUGCGGGACUUAACCCAACAUCUCACGACACGAGCUGACGACAGCCAUGCAGCACCUGUGUAUCCGUUCUCUUGCGAGCACUCCUUCAUCUCUGAAAGAUCCGGACCAUGUCAAGGGCAGGUAAGGUUUUUCGCGUUGCAUCGAAUUAAUCCACAUCAUCCACCGCUUGUGCGGGUCCCCGUCAAUUCCUUUGAGUUUUAAUCUUGCGACCGUACUCCCCAGGCGGUCAACUUCACGCGUUAGCUGCGUUACCAAGACAAUAAAGUCCCGACAACUAGUUGACAUCGUUUAGGGCGUGGACUAC
This 379-nucleotide unclassified non-coding RNA is filed under the name uncultured Gammaproteobacteria bacterium. RNAcentral's name for it is "contains 16S-23S intergenic spacer region". The record is from RNAcentral. Lineage: Bacteria; Pseudomonadati; Pseudomonadota; Gammaproteobacteria.